RNAcentral lists this ribosomal RNA (482 nucleotides) under uncultured bacterium. RNAcentral's name for it is "partial 16S ribosomal RNA". It matches the Rfam family "Bacterial small subunit ribosomal RNA", at positions 30 to 505 of the family's 1533-position model. The record is from RNAcentral.
AUUGAACGCUGGCGGCAGGCCUAACACAUGCAAGUCGAGCGGAUGAAGGGAGCUUGCUCCUGGAUUCAGCGGCGGACGGGUGAGUAAUGCCUAGGAAUCUGCCUGGUAGUGGGGGAUAACGUCCGGAAACGGGCGCUAAUACCGCAUACGUCCUGAGGGAGAAAGUGGGGGAUCUUCGGACCUCACGCUAUCAGAUGAGCCUAGGUCGGAUUAGCUAGUUGGUGGGGUAAAGGCCUACCAAGGCGACGAUCCGUAACUGGUCUGAGAGGAUGAUCAGUCACACUGGAACUGAGACACGGUCCAGACUCCUACGGGAGGCAGCAGUGGGGAAUAUUGGACAAUGGGCGAAAGCCUGAUCCAGCCAUGCCGCGUGUGUGAAGAAGGUCUUCGGAUUGUAAAGCACUUUAAGUUGGGAGGAAGGGCAGUAAGUUAAUACCUUGCUGUUUUGACGUUACCAACAGAAUAGGCACCGGCUAACUUCG